Molecule: ribosomal RNA, 586 nt
Filed under: Pseudomonas sp. StFRB131
Lineage: Bacteria; Pseudomonadati; Pseudomonadota; Gammaproteobacteria; Pseudomonadales; Pseudomonadaceae
Description: bacterial SSU rRNA
Rfam family: Bacterial small subunit ribosomal RNA
Source: RNAcentral
ACGGGUGAGUAAUGCCUAGGAAUCUGCCUGGUAGUGGGGGACAACGUUUCGAAAGGAACGCUAAUACCGCAUACGUCCUACGGGAGAAAGCAGGGGACCUUCGGGCCUUGCGCUAUCAGAUGAGCCUAGGUCGGAUUAGCUAGUAGGUGAGGUAAUGGCUCACCUAGGCGACGAUCCGUAACUGGUCUGAGAGGAUGAUCAGUCACACUGGAACUGAGACACGGUCCAGACUCCUACGGGAGGCAGCAGUGGGGAAUAUUGGACAAUGGGCGAAAGCCUGAUCCAGCCAUGCCGCGUGUGUGAAGAAGGUCUUCGGAUUGUAAAGCACUUUAAGUUGGGAGGAAGGGCAGUAAGUUAAUACCUUGCUGUUUUGACGUUACCGACAGAAUAAGCACCGGCUAACUCUGUGCCAGCAGCCGCGGUAAUACAGAGGGUGCAAGCGUUAAUCGGAAUUACUGGGCGUAAAGCGCGCGUAGGUGGUUCGUUAAGUUGGAUGUGAAAGCCCCGGGCUCAACCUGGGAACUGCAUCCAAAACUGGCGAGCUAGAGUAUGGUAGAGGGUGGUGGGAAUUUCCUGUGUAGCGGUG